Molecule: ribosomal RNA, 468 nt
Filed under: uncultured bacterium
Lineage: Bacteria
Description: partial 16S ribosomal RNA
Rfam family: Bacterial small subunit ribosomal RNA
Source: RNAcentral
GACGAACGCUGGCGGCGUGCUUAACACAUGCAAGUCGAACGGAAAGGCCCUGCUUCUGUGGGGUGCUCGAGUGGCGAACGGGUGAGUAACAGGUGAGUAACCUGCCCUUGACUUUGGGAUAACUUCAGGAAACUGGGGCUAAUACCGGAUAGGAGCUCCUGCUGCAUGGUGGGGGUUGGAAAGUUUCGGCGGUUGGGGAUGGACUCGCGGCUUAUCAGCUUGUUGGUGGGGUAGUGGCUUACCAAGGCUUUGACGGGUAGCCGGCCUGAGAGGGUGACCGGCCACAUUGGGACUGAGAUACGGCCCAGACUCCUACGGGAGGCAGCAGUGGGGAAUAUUGCACAAUGGGCGGAAGCCUGAUGCAGCAACGCCGCGUGCGGGAUGACGGCCUUUGGGUUGUAAACCGCUUUCGCCUGUGACGAAGCGUGAGUGACGGUAAUGGGUAAAGAAGCACCGGCUAACUACGUG